AUAGCUUCUCAGCCUUUGGACUAAGAUCAUGUAUAGUAUCUGUUCUUAUCAGUUUAAUAAUAUUCUAGGAUAAGAGCAUGCAUAUUAUAUAUGCGUUAAAAUUAUAAAAUAGAAGAUCACCUAUU
Molecule: small nuclear RNA, 125 nt
Filed under: Cavia porcellus (domestic guinea pig)
Lineage: Eukaryota; Metazoa; Chordata; Mammalia; Rodentia; Caviidae
Description: U2 spliceosomal RNA
Rfam family: U2 spliceosomal RNA
About the family: U2 is a small nuclear RNA (snRNA) component of the spliceosome (involved in pre-mRNA splicing). Complementary binding between U2 snRNA (in an area lying towards the 5' end but 3' to hairpin I) and the branchpoint sequence (BPS) of the intron results the bulging out of an unpaired adenosine, on the BPS, which initiates a nucleophilic attack at the intronic 5' splice site, thus starting the first of two transesterification reactions that mediate splicing.
Source: Rfam by way of RNAcentral